Molecule: ribosomal RNA, 491 nt
Filed under: uncultured bacterium
Lineage: Bacteria
Description: partial 16S ribosomal RNA
Rfam family: Bacterial small subunit ribosomal RNA
Source: RNAcentral
AGUGAACGCUGGCGGUAGGCCUAACACAUGCAAGUCGAACGGCAGCACAGUAAGAGCUUGCUCUUACGGGUGGCGAGUGGCGGACGGGUGAGGAAUACAUCGGAAUCUACUUUUUCGUGGGGGAUAACGUAGGGAAACUUACGCUAAUACCGCAUACGACCUACGGGUGAAAGCAGGGGAUCUUCGGACCUUGCGCGAUUGAAUGAGCCGAUGUCGGAUUAGCUAGUUGGCGGGGUAAAGGCCCACCAAGGCGACGAUCCGUAGCUGGUCUGAGAGGAUGAUCAGCCACACUGGAACUGAGACACGGUCCAGACUCCUACGGGAGGCAGCAGUGGGGAAUAUUGGACAAUGGGCGCAAGCCUGAUCCAGCCAUACCGCGUGGGUGAAGAAGGCCUUCGGGUUGUAAAGCCCUUUUGUUGGGAAAGAAAAGCAGCAGGUUAAUACCCCGCUGUUCUGACGGUACCCAAAGAAUAAGCACCGGCUGACUGCGU